UGUAUAAUGGGUCAGCGACUUAUAUUCUGUAGCAAGGUUAACCGUAUAGGGGAGCCGCAGGGAAACCGAGUCUUAACUGGGCGUUAAGUUGCAGGGUAUAGACCCGAAACCCGGUGAUCUAGCCAUGGGCAGGUUGAAGGUUGGGUAACACUAACUGGAGGACCGAACCGACUAAUGUUGAAAAAUUAGCGGAUGACUUGUGGCUGGGGGUGAAAGGCCAAUCAAACCGGGAGAUAGCUGGUUCUCCCCGAAAGCUAUUUAGGUAGCGCCUCGUGAACUCAUCUUCGGGGGUAGAGCACUGUUUCGGCUAGGGGGUCAUCCCGACUUACCAACCCGAUGCAAACUACGAAUACCGAAGAAUGUUAUCACGGGAGACACACGGCGGGUGCUAACGUCCGUCGUGAAGAGGGAAACAACCCAGACCGCCAGCUAAGGUCCCAAAGUCAUGGUUAAGUGGGAAACGAUGUGGGAAGGCCCAGACAGCCAGGAUGUUGGCUUAGAAGCAGCCAUCAUUUAAAGAAAGCGUAAUAGCUCACUGGUCGAGUCGGCCUGCGCGGAAGAUGUAACGGGGCUAAACCAUGCACCGAAGCUGCGGCAGCGACACUAUGUGUUGUUGGGUAGGGGAGCGUUCUGUAA
This 636-nucleotide ribosomal RNA is filed under the name Klebsiella michiganensis. RNAcentral's name for it is "partial 23S ribosomal RNA". It matches the Rfam family "Bacterial large subunit ribosomal RNA", at positions 609 to 1246 of the family's 2925-position model. The record is from RNAcentral. Lineage: Bacteria; Pseudomonadati; Pseudomonadota; Gammaproteobacteria; Enterobacterales; Enterobacteriaceae.